GCUCGCUGCUGCUGCCACGUAAGAAGUGUGUUGCUUCCCCUUCGUCUUCCACCAUGAAUAACAGAAUGGCAAUUUUCGUGUGGUGUUAAUUUCCGUGGAAGAAGAAAAGGCUCGACUCUCUGUCCUAUUUUUCAUGAAUACUGGAAGUAGGGAAUAAACCUGGAGUCUCACGGGUGAAAAGAGACAUUUCCAUAUCACCAGACCACAAACGUGGGUGUUGAUUCUAAGGAUACCCCCAAUAAACAUCUUUCGUGCUAAAGCCCAUUCCAGAAUUUACUUCCCAGCUAUCUUUGAUGUUCAUAUUGUCAGAGGUGGUGGCCGCUGAAACAGGCAAAGACAUGGAGCAUAUCUUGGGUCCAGGACCUUGGGAGUCCAGAGGAAGGUCUUUUUACCAUCAGCAUUCUCUACUGUGUUCAAUGACUGUCAGCCAAAGAUGGCCAGGUUCUCUACUGUGAUGGUGAAUUUUAUGUGUCAAUUUGACUGGACCAUGGGAUGCCCAGCUUUCCUUCAGAAAGAAAUGCAUUCAAAGAACCUACAUUCACAACAUAAAGAAAUAAAGCACACACAAGACCGCCAAGCAUUAAGAUUCUCCUGUGGAGCCAGGCUACAAUCCUUUAAAUGAAGACAGACAGCUAGGUGGCUGCAGCCCAGCGCUACACCUCACCCCUCCCUCAGUGUCAUGCAGAAAAAAUGUAUUCAGAACUCAGAAGUGAAGUUGUGCAAAUCCAUCAUUGACACUAGCUUCAAGGUUACCUCGGGGGAGCAGAAUGUACCCCUGCCAGAGAGCUGGAUAGAUGAUGAUGGGGACAGAAAUUCUGGGGGAGUUGUAAAUGGCAGCCACUGCCUCUAUAGGAAACCCAAAGGGAACACAGCAGAAGAGGAGGUGGUGGAGGAGCCACUGCCCUCUCGAAGGGUUCAAUGUCAUUCUGCAGACACAACCAAAUAACUUUUUCUUCCCUGCUGCUCCUCCAUUUGAAAUGACAGCCCCGAGCUCGCUUUUUCCUUGAUUGUGUAACUCUGAUUACAGACAAGGCCAAGGCAAUCCCAGGGCAUUACUACAAAGCUAAGGGGUCCCCAAAGAACUAAAGAGUCAGCUCCACAAAAAUCCCGAUUCCUAGCAUGAAACUGAAAUAUGAAACCAAACGGGCAUAGAAAAGGUAUGUGCAUUCGAAUCACAUAGCAGUGACUGGAGUCCUGAGCUGUGUCUGAAGACUGUGAGAUCACGUUUGGAGCUGCUGAUUGGUUUUCAGUGAUGGCCCUGUUGCACAGUGCCGUGAGACUUAGCUCCAUGGCCAAAGACGAUGGUAUCCCCUAGGAGCCCUGUGAGGUUGCUGCUGUUCUCUUAAGACACCAGGUAGCCAUCUGAUCCUCCCUGAGCAAACUAACUGGGCAGACAGGUUUAUUAAACCUCUGUUGGUCCGACUUACAUGAAACAAGAGAGUUAUUUUGUUGUUGUUGUUUUGUUUUGUUUUAAAUUAAACCUGUCUUUGGAGCC
Molecule: long non-coding RNA, 1495 nt
Filed under: Homo sapiens (human)
Lineage: Eukaryota; Metazoa; Chordata; Mammalia; Primates; Hominidae
Description: long intergenic non-protein coding RNA 922
Source: RNAcentral